This 251-nucleotide ribosomal RNA is filed under the name uncultured bacterium. RNAcentral describes it as "partial 16S ribosomal RNA". It matches the Rfam family "Bacterial small subunit ribosomal RNA", at positions 57 to 305 of the family's 1533-position model. The record is from RNAcentral.
GCAAGUUGAACGGUAACAGAGGUGCUUGCACCUGCUGACGAGUAGCGAAAGGGUGAGUAGCCCGUGAGUAACCUGCCUUAAAGUCGGGGAUACCCCUUGGAAACGAGGACUAAUACCGGAUGUGGUUUUUAGAUCGCAUGAUCUUUUAACUAAAAUCUUUUUGCUUUAAGAUGGACUCGCGUAUCAUCAGCUAGUUGGUAAGGUAACGGCUUACCAAGGCAACGACGAUUAGGUGGUCUGAGAGGACGAUC